Molecule: long non-coding RNA, 3952 nt
Organism: Oncorhynchus keta (chum salmon)
Lineage: Eukaryota; Metazoa; Chordata; Actinopteri; Salmoniformes; Salmonidae
Exons: 4
Source: RefSeq, a predicted model, not a curated record
AAAAGAUUUAGAUGCACUAUUGUAAAGUGGCUGUUCCACUGGAUGUCAUAAGGUGAAUGCACCAAUUUGUAAGUCGUUCUGGAUAAGAGCGUCUGCUAAAUGACUUAAAUGUAAUCUGGACAGAGCCUCUACAGACAGACGGAGGCUCAAGGGGACGAGAACAGGCAUACUCAAGCCGGUUUAAUCCCAGAUUACCAGUCUAGAGUUAGUUGUAAGUAUUUUUGCUUUAACACAGGACCACCAGGACAGGAGACAAUCGUAGACCUAAGAGGUUGAUAUGAUAAAGAACAAUUGGGGGUUAUUGAUUUAGUUGGGACAGAUCGGUACGAAGGAUGGAGGUACUGAAGGGAAGGCUGAGGGUGAGGAAUAUGCCAUUUAAGGAGUUAAUGGCUGAGACCUUGGCUAUGUUCGUCCUUAUGGUGAGUACUUCAUCUCAAAAUGUCUUUAUUCAUAUUAUCAAUGAUCAAGGGUUGUUACUGUUUUAUGCAUUCUUAAAUCUCAUAUGAAUUUGUUUAUUCUGUGUUUGAAAGUGCUUGGGAGCAAAAGCUACCUCACCACAAUUGAGGAACAUAUUCAAAAUGAUUUAGAGUAGCUGUUCCUCGAAUCCAUUGGCCAUUCAAAGAUUUGUUUCGACACGGUCAAGACUUGAGUUGGAAUGAGAUCCAGAAACGUGGAACUGAACAGAGCAGCCCUGGGUUAAAACAGAAUAUUCUAGAACGUACUUAACUCUUCUAUCACCUCCUCCAUUGCAAGGGACUUGCCUAGUUAAAUAAAGGUUAAAUUAAAACUAAAACAACAAAGUCUACGUGCUGCUUUUAGUUCUCACCAACCUUGUUUCAAUUUACAUAUUUUUGUCUUCAUCUUUAUUCCUUUAUCAGUGUCUUUUGAAGAUGUUUGGCAAGCAUGCAUGGUGACUACUAAUUUGACCUUGAUCUCUCGUCCACCCUUCCUCUUCUCUCCCUACUCCGUCCCUCUCUCCUUCCUCGAUCUCGCCCUCAGCGAUGGCCCAGGUGAAGUUGACUCGAGGGGCCACGGGCGAGUACCUCUCUGUCAAUAUGGCCUUCUCAGUGGGCGUCAUGAGUGCCAUGUACAUUGCCAGGGGCGUCUCUGCGGUGGCGUCCUGACUGUAUGGCCCAAAUGAAACGGCCUCCAUCUUUGCUACCUACCCAUCCGACUACCUUUCUCUAUGUGGCAGCUUCUUUGACCAGGGAGGAGAGAGGGAAAAUAAUCAGUGCAUACAGUAAUGCAUUCUUGAGGAUUUUGGUGGGCACAGGUAUGAUCAUGAUGUGCUUCCAGCCCCUGGAUGAACGGCGGAACAAGCCUUCCCCCUUCUGACCUGGUGCCCCCCUCACCGCCGUGGUUUUCACGGGGAUCUCCCAGUCCAUGUCUUCAAACUGCGGGGGAGGGAUCAACGCCUCCUCACUCUGACCGCAGGAUGGGGUACAGAGGUCUUCACGUGCUAUAACUACUGGUUUUGGGUCCCAAUCGUGGCUCUGGGCUCUACCUGGUCUUCGUCCAAUGGCACUUACCAGACUGAGAUAAAUUAAACCAAUGACUUGCAGUUCAAGACUAUGGAUAAAAAAAAUGGAAAUCAUCAAAAACAACAAUGCUGUAGAGCUGGCCCACAAGUUCUUGUUGGCGUAACCUUGUCCCCAGGCUCAAUUGCUACACAGAGAGAGUGCCGGCUGGGUGGAUGAGAUUAUAGUUGGUGGUACAGAUGAAGGAUAUACUUGUUUUAUCUAUUAUUUAGCCUUUUUAUGAGCAAAGUAACCAUCUGAAUAACUGAACAUGGUGUUCAGAAUAUUUAGAUACAUUUCCUUUGGUGUUGAUAGAAGGGUACUGUGGGACUUUGUACAAUAUUUUGAAAAAUAAUGAAAAUGACAUGCAAUGAACUUGUAACAGACUGCUUUAUGACAUUCUCUAUCAACUAUACAGAGCCAUAUAUUUUCAGAAAUAUUUGGAUCUUGAGCAAUCUAUAGAUCACUUCAUUCCAUUUAACGAUACUGUUGAUUACAACAACAAAAGAACACCCCUCACCUUUCUGCAUUGAUGAACUAUAGGGCAACCGACAUCAAUGAUAUGUCAUACAGGGGUCGAUUCACAAAUAGAGUACAUUUUGUGUAGUGUAACUUGGUAAAUAAAAAAAUAAUUUUAACAUUGUCAAAAAGAGCACAUGUUCAACUUCGUUAAAAAAAUGUUUUCCCACCAAGAAAAAUAAAUAAUAUAGUAAGUGCAUUAAUGUAACAGGGUUCAGCCAUAAAUCCCUUUGUGACAGGGGGGAAUGGAAGCUUGUUGUGUGGAAUAGGGAGGGGCAAUUGAAUGCAAGCUUCGGACCAGCAUUUUAUUACGUUUGCAAUCGCAAAAAAUAAUCUGCUCAGGUCCCAACCAAGGAUCAUCAAAAGUUGUGCUAUAAAUUCUCGGACAACCCAAAGAUCCUAGAUGCCCUUCCAGACUCCCUCCGCCUACCAAAGGAUGUCAGAGUACAAAAAUUAGUUAACCACCUAACUGAGGAACUCAAUUUAACCUUGCGCAAUACCCUAGAUGCAGUCGCACCCCUAAAAACAUUUGUCAUAAGAAACUAGCUCCCUGGUAUACAGAAAAUACCCGAGCUCUGAAGCAAGUUCUAGAAAAUUGGAACGGAAAUGGCACUACUCCAAACUGGAAGUCUUCCGACUAGCUUGGAAAGACGGUACCGUGCAGUAUCGAAGAGCCCUCACUGCUGCUCGAUCAUCCUAUUUUUCCAACUUAAUUGAGGAAAAUAAGAACAAUCCAAAAUGUAAUUUUGAUACUCUCACAAAGCUAACUAAAAAGCAUUCCCCAAGACAGGAUGGCUCUCACUUCAGCAGUGAUAAAUUCAUGAACUUCUUUGAGGAAAAGAUCAUGAUCAUUAGAAAGCAAAUUACGGACUGCUCUUUAAAUCUGUGUAUUCCUCCAAAGCUCAGUUGUCCUGAGUCUGCACAACUCUAAGGGAGUCACUUAAGUUUUUUAGUACUAUAUCUCUUGACACAUUAUUUUCAUCAAUCAUGGCCUCUAAACCUUUCAAGCUGCAUACUGGACCCUAUUCCAACUAAACUACUGAAAGAGCCUGCUUCCAGGGCUUGGCCCUCCUAUGUUGAACAUAAUAAACGUCUCUCUAUCCACCGGAUAUGUACCAAACUCACUAAAAGUGGUAGUAAUAAAAAAGUAAAAUUGAAAGGAAUUGAAAAAGUAAAACCUUGACCCAGAAAAUAUAAAAAACUAUCGGCCCAUAUCGAAUCUCACAUUCCUCUCAAAAUCUUUUGAAAAAGCUGUUGCGCAGCAACUCACUGCCUUCCUGAAGACAAACAAUGUAUACGAAAUGCUUUAGUCUGGUUUUAGACCCCAUCAUAGCACUGAGACUACACUUGUUAAGGGUGGUAAAAUGACCUUUUAAUGGCGUCAGACCGAGGCUCUGCAUCUGUCCUUAUGCUCAAGUGCUGCUUUUGAUACCAUCGAUCACCACAUUCUUUUGGAGAGAUUGGAAACCGAAAUUGGUCAACACUGACAAGUUCUGGCCUGGUUUAGAUCUAUAUCUGUCGGAAAUAUAUCCGUUUGUCUCUGUGGAUGGUUUGUCCUCUGACAAAUCAACUGUAAAUGUCGGUGUUCUGUUUUAGGACCACUAUUGUUUUCACUGUAUAUUUCACCUCUUGGUGAUGUCAUUUGGAAAAACAUAAGGUUAACUUUCACUGCUAUGCGGAUGACAUAGAGCUGUAUAUUUCGAUGAAACAUGGUGAAGCUCCAAAAUUGCCCUCCCCUGGAAGCCUGUGUUUCAGACAUAAGGAAGUGGUGGCUGCAAAUGUUAUACUUUUAAACUCGGACAAAACAGAGAUGCUUGUUCUAGGUCCCAAGAAACAAAGAGAUCUUCUGUUGAAUCUGACAAUUAAUCUUGAUGGUUGUACAGUCGUCUCAAAUAAAACUGUGGACUUCUGCCUUA